CUUCCGACCAGUGCAACAGAUUGGUAUGAAUUUUAAAUUAACUGCAAUAGGUUAAGAGCAACACUUACAAUCAAGUCACAGUAGUACAUUUCGUGCUCAGCUGCUAACUAAUAAAUUAAAAGAGGGACGAAAGAUACCAGAGGGACAGUAAAAGAUAUAUGUUAAUGUAUACACUGAGAAAAAUGUAGGCAUCAAGAAGGCA
Molecule: long non-coding RNA, 202 nt
Filed under: Mytilus galloprovincialis (Mediterranean mussel)
Lineage: Eukaryota; Metazoa; Mollusca; Bivalvia; Mytilida; Mytilidae
Source: RNAcentral